Molecule: long non-coding RNA, 310 nt
Filed under: Ricinus communis (castor bean)
Lineage: Eukaryota; Viridiplantae; Streptophyta; Magnoliopsida; Malpighiales; Euphorbiaceae
Description: long non-coding RNA (RCOM_LNC000030)
Source: RNAcentral
GAAGGGGGAGUAAAUUUGCGUUUCUUUCAGUCGAAAGCAGCAACUUCUCCGGCGCUCGUGCAGCGUGUCAGCGCUACCCACGCGUCUCUUUUCCUUCCUUUCUGGCCUAUUAUCGCACACUCUGGAUUAUGCGGUCAAACCAUCUCUUCCCUCCCCCUACUGCUUGACUUACUUACACCCUGUACUCCUCCUGUCUCUUCCCAUUUAUAUUCCUCGAGGGUUUUCUUUGCCCUUUUAAGAUACAGCCUACAUGGUUUCAUCAAUUUUUAUGCUUAUUGGAUGCACAGGUCGGAUUAUUGGUGAAUCUCAC